RNAcentral lists this ribosomal RNA (492 nucleotides) under uncultured bacterium. Its description in RNAcentral is "partial 16S ribosomal RNA". It matches the Rfam family "Bacterial small subunit ribosomal RNA", at positions 29 to 507 of the family's 1533-position model. The record is from RNAcentral.
AGUGAACGCUGGCGGUAGGCCUAACACAUGCAAGUCGAACGGCAGCACAGUAAGAGCUUGCUCUUACGGGUGGCGAGUGGCGGACGGGUGGGGAAUACAUCGGAAUCUACUUUUUCGUGGGGGAUAACGUAGGGAAACUUACGCUAAUACCGCAUACGACCUACGGGUGAAAGCAGGGGAUCUUCGGACCUUGCGCGAUUGAAUGAGCCGAUGUCGGAUUAGCUAGUUGGCGGGGUAAAGGCCCACCAAGGCGACGAUCCGUAGCUGGUCUGAGAGGAUGAUCAGCCACACUGGAACUGAGACACGGUCCAGACUCCUACGGGAGGCAGCAGUGGGGAAUAUUGGACAAUGGGCGCAAGCCUGAUCCAGCCAUACCGCGUGGGUGAAGAAGGCCUUCGGGUUGUAAAGCCCUUUUGUUGUGAAAGAAAAGCAGCAGGUUAAUACCCCGCUGUUCUGACGGUACCCAAAGAAUAAGCACCGGCUAACUUCGUG